UACCUUUACCCCCGUAGAGGUGGCCAGACCCCAAUUGCGGGGCGCGGCUGAAAAGGGAAUCCGGUUAAAAUCCGGAGCUGUCCCCGCAACUGUACGCUUCAUAUAACCAGGCACGCCAAUCCCCCGGCCACUGUUUCGCAGAAGGUUUUCCCACUGGAAAACCCGAGAGAUGGGAAGGCGGCGUGCCCGAAGCAAGCCAGGAGACCUGCCCCUACGCAUCCUAAGUU
Molecule: non-coding RNA, 227 nt
Filed under: Hymenobacter radioresistens
Lineage: Bacteria; Pseudomonadati; Bacteroidota; Cytophagia; Cytophagales; Hymenobacteraceae
Also listed under: 1 other name
Source: RNAcentral